Long non-coding RNA from Olea europaea var. sylvestris, 1014 nucleotides. RefSeq lists it as uncharacterized. The record is from RefSeq and is a predicted model, not a curated record. Lineage: Eukaryota; Viridiplantae; Streptophyta; Magnoliopsida; Lamiales; Oleaceae. The transcript is spliced from 2 exons.
UUCUAAUGUCAUUUAUCCGACCAUCAACAAUGCUACUUGUACAAUGUCCACUUACAAUGUGGACUUACAAUCUGAGCUGGAAGGGCAAAAAAGGAAAAGAGCAUUUUCAAAUAAAGUUUUUAUUUUAACUCUUACUUAUUUUAACUCGUACUUAUUUUCACUCUUACAGGAGACGAAACACACGCUAGAAAGAAAAACCCCUCUCUCAAAAUUUCCCCUUUUGUCGUGAAUGGCUAUUGUAUAUAAAUUUCUGGUGAAUCGUCAGAGGGUUUCCGGCGCCACGCUAGAAGAAAAAGCCCUCUCUCAAAUUUUCCCCAAUUGUCGUGAACGGCAGUAGCAAUUUUUUGGUUUGAAGUAUCAAUUCGACGAAAAUAUUAAGGAAAGGGGCUUGAUAGGAAGAAUGCCAGGAAAGAACUCCAGAGUAUGUCACAGCUGUAGGAGUAAAGCCCACUUUUUUGCUGAAUGCCCGAUAAAAGUCCAAUGUCCAAUGUGUAACCAAGGUUUUCAGAAGUGGUUUGAGGUAGAAUGGGCUACAGCCAACAAAGGCAAAUUCUUCAAAUGUUGCAGUCUUAAAUGUGGUUUCUGGGAGUGGUGCAAAGAAGGGGAAUCAAGCGGCAAAGCCAAGAAUGUUGGUGUUAUGUUUCCGAAGCCGAAUCCGAUAGAUUCAGUUGAUGAUAUGUCCCGCAUAUUUCAGUCGCAAGUUCGGCUAAAUGAUGAACAAGAACUCCACAUUUCUGUGAACGUGACGAUCUGAACGGGAAAUUCAAGAAUCGAGUGGAACACCAAGGGCAAGGGGCCGGCUUGAUUGGCGGUGCAUUUGUGUUUAGUUAUAUCAAAUCUUUUGUUUGUGUUAGCAGUGUUAGCUUUAGCAGAAUCAAUGUUAGGUUGUUGGUUGUCUAGUUUGAACAAUAUUAUCGUGAUGUAAUGCCUUUCGUUAUUAGUGCAAUGGAUAGAAUUGUGUGCCUAUUCAAACCUUGCAUUUUUCAUUCAAUGCGCUAAUUCUACCAUUUUCUA